CCUACGGGUGGCAGCAGUGAGGAAUAUUGGUCAAUGGCCGGAAGGCUGAACCAGCCAAGCCGCGUGAGGGAGGAAGGCGCAGAGCGUCGCAGACCUCUUUUGCCGGGGGCCAACCUUCCUUCCUCGUCCGGUCCUGCGGGUCCCCGGCGCCCCCGCCUCGGCUACCUCCGUGCCCGCCGCCGCGGUCCUCCUUAGGAUGCGCUCGUUCUCCGUAUUCCUUUUUUUUACAGUUUUCGCCGUCGGGCCUUUACGCCGGCGUUGACCUCGCGGGGCUCAACCCCGCCGAGCCGUCGGAACUGGGGGCCUUGAGUGCGGCGGAGGCAUGCGGAAUGCGCGGUGUAGCGGUGAAAUGCAUAGAUAUCGCGCAGAACCCCGAGGGCGAAGGCAGCGUGCCGUGCCGCCACUGACGCGGAGGCACGAAAGCGCGGGGAUCGAACAGGAUGAGAUACCCGAGUAGUC
Molecule: ribosomal RNA, 459 nt
Filed under: uncultured bacterium
Lineage: Bacteria
Description: partial 16S ribosomal RNA
Rfam family: Bacterial small subunit ribosomal RNA
Source: RNAcentral